UGAGGAAUAUUGGUCAAUGGGCGAAAGCCUGAACCAGCAACGCCGCGUGAGGGAUGAAGGCCUUCGGGUCGUAAACCUCUUUUCUGGGAGAAGAGACAAGGACGGUAUCCCAGGAAUAAGUCUCGGCUAACUACGUGCCAGCAGCCGCGGUAAAACGUAGGAGGCAAGCGUUAUCCGGAUUUACUGGGCGUAAAGCGCACGCAGGCGGCUGCGUAAGUCGGACGUGAAAGCUCCUGGCUCAACUGGGAGAGGUCGUUCGAAACUGCGCGGCUUGAGGUUGGAAGAGGAGAGCGGAAUUCCCGGUGUAGUGGUGGAAUGCGUAGAUAUCGGGAGGAACACCAGUGGCGAAAGCGGCUCUCUGGUCCACACCUGACGCUCAGGUGCGAAAGCGUGGGUAGCGAACGGG
Molecule: ribosomal RNA, 406 nt
Filed under: uncultured bacterium
Lineage: Bacteria
Also listed under: 1 other name
Description: bacterial SSU rRNA
Rfam family: Bacterial small subunit ribosomal RNA
Source: RNAcentral